Myotis myotis is the source of this 2767-nucleotide long non-coding RNA. RefSeq lists it as uncharacterized. Lineage: Eukaryota; Metazoa; Chordata; Mammalia; Chiroptera; Vespertilionidae. The record is from RefSeq and is a predicted model, not a curated record. The transcript has 3 exons.
CAUAACAUUUAUCAUUUUAACCAUGUUUAAUUGGAAACUUCAGUGGCAUUACAUACAUUCACAUUGUUGUGCAACCAUCAUCAUCAACAGGUUUUUUGGAAAGAAUGAAUGAAUGUAAUGAGAUUGUAAAGGACCUUGUAAGCCAUCCUAAGGAGUCUGACCUAUAUUCUCUAGGCAAUAAAAAAAAAAAAAGGUACAUGUAAUGGGCAUAAGAGAGGAAAAAGCAAUCAAAAAGCAUUUGGAAGACUAAAUUUACAAUAAUGACUCUCAACCCUGACUACACAUUAGAAAUUUUAAAAAUCAAUCAUGCCUGGGUCACACCCCACACCAAGUCAAUCAGAACCUUUGGGGAAUAAGACUAAAAACAUUCCAGGUGAUUCCAAUGUGCAGCUAAGGCUGAGAACAGUGAAUGCUAGAGCAAAGAUUCUGCUUAAAAUCAAAAUGUGGUCCCCAGUUCAUCAGCAUCACCUGGGAGCUUACUGUAUGUUUUCAAGUUGUUAUCUAUGUUCCAUCACCACUUUCUGAAUAAUAAUCUUCACUUUCUCACUUAGACCAUUGUAAGAAGAAUUUUUGUGAGUUUGAGUCAAACUGUCGACAAAUGCUGGGAAGUAAAAUCUCAAUAGAUUGAGAUAAAGAAGAAUGGCUGUUUUGCAUCUUGUUUUAUACAUUACAAUCAAAACCAGAACAUUCUCAGCUCUGAGCUCCCCAUGCACCAGGGAUGUUGGCUUUGAGCGGGCAGGAUCUGCCCAAGAGGCCUCAGAACUCGUGAGCACCUACUCGGUUCCUGUGAUUGCUUCCCGGUGAGCAGGGAGCAAUAACGUUGCAGAGGAGUGUCCGAAGUUCUGGAAGCCAGAGGUCCGAAAUCCAGAGGCUCUAGAAGGGACCUGAAACUGCUCAGCCAAGGUUUACAAUAAGCAACAUCUAACAGUACGAUGGACAGAAGGGCUUCAGACAGGUGUGACACACCGGCCUCCAGGGAAGCCGCUCUUCCAAAAUCAUCUGGAACACUGUAAGUAUUUCCCUUUAUCACAUGGGUUUACAUCUCACCAGAUCUUUAGUUGCCAUAAGCCUGCUCACUUUUGAAUUAUGCCUUUUAAUCUUCUUUUCAAGUUUAUUACUUCUAGGGUACAAUAAGAAUGCCAGCUUGUCUGUCGCGUCAUCCUCUGGACAUUGCUUAUGUCACCUCCCGGGACACCAGGCUGACCUGGACUUUGCAGAAUCCCUCUUCCCUGCAUGAAGACUCCCCUUCCCGUUUGCUCCUCCUUCCUCAGUCAGACAGGAAGAACCUCUGAGCCUUGGGAUAGGCAGGACUAUGCCCCCUUGACAGCAGAAAGCAAUUACAAGAAGAUGGAGAUAUUCACCCAUUUAUCUCCUUGUAAGAUUACAAGGCUUAAGUUCUUGAAGGGAGAGAGUAAUACCACUGUGGUCAGCUAGUUAUUAAUAAUAGGACAGAAGCAAAGGGAAGGUCAGAUAUUAUAGGCUUGUCAUUUGCGCAGUUUCACCAGGAAGCUGCAACUUUGCACUCCCAAGGGAGCCACUGGCCUAUUCCCUGCAUAACACUGGGGAAAGGGAUCCAACGAAGGAAGGACAGAUGCAUGUCCAGUAAAGUUGGGGUGACCUAGGGAAGAUACUUGUGUGUCAGUCACUCCGGAGGACAGAUCAUUGGCCAAAAUGAGCGUGGCCACUGCAAGCAUGCAAAUAUUUGGGAGUACACAAUCUUCUAAACAAAGGAGUUCUCUCUCUUGUUGCUCUUAUGCUCUUGGCUUCCUUGCAUUUCCCCUGCUUCCUCGAUAGCCAUGUGGUCGUGUGGACCCCACAUGCCAUGGACUGAUGGACUACAGUGGGGAACACAGAUUAUGCGAGCCCGAUGCUGGAUUGGAUUCUGCUCUAACAUGGAAAGGAAACUCUGGACAUAGACUGAUUCUAGUGCUAUUGAAACCCUAGCUACACUUCCAUGACUGGGCAAAGGGAAAUGGAAUUUUGGAAACUCAAGGACAUAAUGCCAUGGAAAGACAGCUUUCUACAAUAUCACAUCCUCCUGUGUGAGUCUCUUUUUCUUGGGAUGUCUCAAGAAAUCCACCCCCACUAGCAACUGGGGGAGAUGAGGACCUCUCAUCUGUUAUACCCAUAUCUAUAUACAGUAUUCAUUUAAUAAUUCUGAUACCCGGCACAAUUUCCCCUUCCCCUCUGCUUUCUGGAUCCCACUCCUUCACCCCCAUAUCUUUCCCUUUCACGCCAAGCAGAAAUCCCCAGUGUGUUUCCUUCAUUCACUCCUCAUUACGCUGUAACUGCCCAUUCAUGCCACUGUUUCCUUUUUCAUUAAGGUUUCCGGCUGUCAGUUUUUCCUUCAGAGUACAAAGCCAUCAAUUGAAAGCAAAAGUUGAGUGAAAGUUCUAGGCUUUAGGGAAACUCUCACAUGAAAGGAUUUUUCCCUCCCUGAGAAAGUUUUUGGAAAGGGAAUGUCCCUGUUGCAAUGAUGUAACAGUAGCUGUAGCAAAAAGGAAAUAGAAAGUAGGAUCCAUUUUACUCUGUGGCCUGUUAAAAAAAUUUGUAUGAGAAGGGUGCCACCUACUGGCCAAGAUGGAUAAAGACUGAAACAAGGUCUAGGGAUCUGGCUUCUUAUAUAUGCAGAAGUCUGUCUUGCAGAUUUAGCUCUAGGGUUUCAAAAAAACCUCUUGCUUGGAAAGAGCUGAUCUUCAUACCGAAAGAAGCCUGCGUUCUAAUUUAUAUAUUUUUAAAAUGUAUACUUUAACAUAUAUAUAUAUAU